GAUGAACGCUGACAGAAUGCUUAACACAUGCAAGUCUACUUGAACUUCGGUUUGGGUGGCGGACGGGUGAGUCACGCGUAAAGAACUUGCCUCACAGUUAGGGACAACAUUUGGUAACGAAUGCUAAUACCUGAUAUUAUGAUUUUAGGGCAUCCUAGGAUUAUGAAAGCUAUAUGUGCUGUGAGAGAGCUUUGCGUCCCAUUAGCUAGUUGGAGAGGUAACGGCUCACCAAGGCGAUGAUGGGUAGCCGGCCUGAGAGGGUGAACGGCCACAAGGGGACUGAGACACGGCCCUUACUCCUACGGGAGGCAGCAGUGGGGAAUAUUGGACAAUGGACCAAAAGUCUGAUCCAGCAAUUCUGUGUGCACGAUGACGUUUUUCGGAAUGUAAAGUGCUUUCAGUUGGGAAGAAAAAAAUGACGGUACCAACAGAAGAAGUGACGGCUAAAUACGUG
Molecule: ribosomal RNA, 454 nt
Filed under: uncultured bacterium
Lineage: Bacteria
Description: partial 16S ribosomal RNA
Rfam family: Bacterial small subunit ribosomal RNA
Source: RNAcentral